RNAcentral lists this unclassified non-coding RNA (372 nucleotides) under uncultured marine bacterium. RNAcentral's name for it is "partial contains 16S ribosomal RNA, 16S-23S ribosomal RNA intergenic spacer, and 23S ribosomal RNA". The stretch from base 84 to 157 matches the Rfam family "tRNA". The record is from RNAcentral.
UCUAAGGAAAGUAUAGAAUGUAAACACCGCCGUCUUUGAAUCUCUUCUUCUUAAACUUGAAAUAAAGAGUUUGCUACAGCUAAAGGCGCGUAGCUCAGUUGGUUAGAGCGCACGACUGAUAAUCGUGAGGUCGGCAGUUCAAAUCUGCCCGUGCCUACCACUGUUUCUAGUAAGUUUAAGAUAUAUUAAUAGUUGAGAUAAGAAUUGAUGUAAUAUCAAUCUGAUUGAAAUAGUUGGUGAAGAUGAUCCCAAAUAAUAGGGCAAUAUAGCACAAUAUAUUGUCCAGCUUACGGAUUGUACUUAAAAUUACAUUUCAAGAUUAUGUUUUUUUAAAGUAGUAAUGGUUGUCUGACCGGUUACUACUUUCAUGUA